AUUGAACGCUGGCGGCAUGCCUUACACAUGCAAGUCGAACGGCAGCACGGGUGCUUGCACCUGGUGGCGAGUGGCGAACGGGUGAGUAAUACAUCGGAACAUGUCCUGUAGUGGGGGAUAGCCCGGCGAAAGCCGGAUUAAUACCGCAUACGAUCUACGGAUGAAAGCGGGGGACCUUCGGGCCUCGCGCUAUAGGGUUGGCCGAUGGCUGAUUAGCUAGUUGGUGGGGUAAAGGCCUACCAAGGCGACGAUCAGUAGCUGGUCUGAGAGGACGGCCAGCCACACUGGGACUGAGACACGGCCCAGACUCCUACGGGAGGCAGCAGUGGGGAAUUUUGGACAAUGGGCGAAAGCCUGAUCCAGCAAUGCCGCGUGUGUGAAGAAGGCCUUCGGGUUGUAAAGCACUUUUGUCCGGAAAGAAAUCCUUGGCCCUAAUACGGUCGGGGGAUGACGGUACCGGAAGAAUAAGCACCGGCUAACUACGUG
Molecule: ribosomal RNA, 486 nt
Filed under: uncultured bacterium
Lineage: Bacteria
Description: partial 16S ribosomal RNA
Rfam family: Bacterial small subunit ribosomal RNA
Source: RNAcentral